Molecule: ribosomal RNA, 259 nt
Filed under: uncultured bacterium
Lineage: Bacteria
Description: partial 16S ribosomal RNA
Rfam family: Bacterial small subunit ribosomal RNA
Source: RNAcentral
UACGUAGGGUGCGAGCGUUGUCCGGAUUUAUUGGGCGUAAAGAGCUCGUAGGCGGUUUGUCGCGUCUGCUGUGAAAUCCCAGGGCUUAACCCCGGGCCUGCAGUCGAUACGGGCAGACUAGAGUGCGGUAGGGGAGACUGGAAUUCCUGGUGUAGCGGUGAAAUGCGCAGAUAUCAGGAGGAACACCGGUGGCGAAGGCGGGUCUCUGGGCCGUAACUGACGCUGAGGAGCGAAAGCGUGGGGAGCGAACAGGAUUAGA